CAGUAGCCACGGGAAUACGAAGGGUGCAAGCGUUACUCGGAAUUACUGGGCGUAAAGCGUGCGUAGGUGGUUGUUUAAGUCUGCUGUGAAAGCCCUGGGCUCAACCUGGGAAUUGCAGUGGAUACUGGGCAACUAGAGUAAGGUAGAGGAUAGUGGAAUUUCCGGUGUAGCAGUGAAAUGCGUAGAGAUCGGAAGGAACAUCUGUGGCGAAGGCGACUAUCUGGGCCAUUACUGACACUGAGGCACGAAAGCGUGGGGAGCAAACAGGAUUAGAUACCCGAGUAGUCCCUGUCUCUUAUAC
This 301-nucleotide ribosomal RNA is filed under the name uncultured bacterium. RNAcentral describes it as "partial 16S ribosomal RNA". It matches the Rfam family "Bacterial small subunit ribosomal RNA", at positions 509 to 807 of the family's 1533-position model. The record is from RNAcentral.